RNAcentral lists this ribosomal RNA (119 nucleotides) under Pteropus alecto (black flying fox). The record is from RNAcentral. Lineage: Eukaryota; Metazoa; Chordata; Mammalia; Chiroptera; Pteropodidae.
GUCUAUAUCCAUGCCACCCUGAACGUGUCCGAUCUCGUUUGAUCUCAGGAGCUAAGCAGGGUCGGGCCUGGUUAGUACUUGGAUGGGAGACCACCUAGGAAGACCAGGUGCUGUAGGCG